CUCAGUUCGGAUCGAAGUCUGCAACCCGACUUCGUGAAGCUGGAUUCGCUAGUAAUCGCGCAUCAGCCAUGGCGCGGUGAAUACGUUCCCGGGCCUUGUACACACCGCCCGUCAAGCCAUGAAAGCCGGGGGUACCUGAAGUACGUAACCGCAAGGAGCGUCCUAGGGUAAAACUGGUAAUUGGGGCUAAGUCGUAACAAGGUACC
Molecule: ribosomal RNA, 206 nt
Filed under: uncultured bacterium
Lineage: Bacteria
Description: partial 16S ribosomal RNA
Rfam family: Bacterial small subunit ribosomal RNA
Source: RNAcentral